This 468-nucleotide ribosomal RNA is filed under the name uncultured bacterium. Its description in RNAcentral is "partial 16S ribosomal RNA". It matches the Rfam family "Bacterial small subunit ribosomal RNA", at positions 28 to 507 of the family's 1533-position model. The record is from RNAcentral.
GACGAACGCUGGCGGCGUGCUUAACACAUGCAAGUCGAACGGAAAGGCCCUGCUUUUGUGGGGUGCUCGAGUGGCGAACGGGUGAGUAACACGUGAGUAACCUGCCCUUGACUUUGGGAUAACUUCAGGAAACUGGGGCUAAUACCGGAUAGGAGCUCCUGCUGCAUGGUGGGGGUUGGAAAGUUUCGGCGGUUGGGGCUGGACUCGCGGCUUAUCAGCUUGUUGGUGGGGUAGUGGCUUACCAAGGCUUUGACGGGUAGCCGGCCUGAGAGGGUGACCGGCCACAUUGGGACUGAGAUACGGCCCAGACUCCUACGGGAGGCAGCAGUGGGGAAUAUUGCACAGUGGGCGGAAGCCUGAUGCAGCAACGCCGCGUGCGGGAUGACGGCCUUCGGGUUGUAAACCGCUUUCGCCUGUGACGAAGCGUGAGUGACGGUAAUGGGUAAAGAAGCACCGGCUAACUACGUG